Molecule: long non-coding RNA, 620 nt
Organism: Zootermopsis nevadensis
Lineage: Eukaryota; Metazoa; Arthropoda; Insecta; Blattodea; Termopsidae
Source: RefSeq, a predicted model, not a curated record
UCCCGCUAGUGGAGUUGUUAUAUCAUACGUUCAAAAUGGUGGCUGCACUUGAUAUCCAGCAGAAGCAAGAACGAGACAGUGAGGAACAUCCACAAUCGAUUGCAGAAAGUGUAUCGGAAUGAUGCUGUCGAUCGCAGCACUGUUGGUCGUUGGGCUAAACGAUUGUUUGGGAAGAGUGAAGUGCAGGUCCUGAGUUGUAUACAAGCAGUUGUUAAUAGGUGGAAAACAAAGCAGCAAAUCUGAUGUGUUUCCAGAAAUAAUGGCUACUGCAGUGGGUCUCUGUAAGAAGCAUGAUCUGUCAGCUGUGAGAUCCAGUGAAACAAUCAGCUGUAUGUAAGAGCCUCUUUGUCUGCUGGAAGCCAUACUGUGUAGUCACUAAAAAUUGCAUAUCGUGUACACAUGACAAAUUUUAACAUAAUUUCAAAAUUAAGUUUGCAGCUGUGUAUAUGCCACCAGCAGCAAUGCAGUUCAUGUUCAUGAAAAGGUUGCUGACCCCAUCCUACUCCAUCUCUGGAGACUGGUACGUUGCAUAAAUGAGCUGAUGGCUGUUCACAUGUUAAUACUGCUAGCCAUUAACUGUAUGUAACUAACUAGAUUAAAGUAUUACCCCAUUGGAGAAA